GCCCCGAUAGCUCAACUGGAUAGAGCGCCUGACUUCGGAUCAGGAUGUUGGGGGUUCGAAUCCUCCUCGGGGCG
Molecule: transfer RNA, 74 nt
Filed under: Caldisericota bacterium
Lineage: Bacteria; Pseudomonadati; Caldisericota
Also listed under: 1 other name
Description: Caldiserica bacterium tRNA-Arg
Rfam family: tRNA
About the family: Transfer RNA (tRNA) molecules are approximately 80 nucleotides in length. Their secondary structure includes four short double-helical elements and three loops (D, anti-codon, and T loops).
Source: RNAcentral